CCUACGGGGGGCUGCAGUAGGGAAUCUUCCGCAAUGGGCGAAAGCCUGACGGAGCAACGCCGCGUGAGUGAUGAAGGUCUUCGGAUCGUAAAACUCUGUUAUUAGGGAAGAACAAAUGUGUAAGUAACUAUGCACGUCUUGACGGUACCUAAUCAGAAAGCCACGGCUAACUACGUGCCAGCAGCCGCGGUAAUACGUAGGUGGCAAGCGUUAUCCGGAAUUAUUGGGCGUAAAGCGCGCGUAGGCGGUUUUUUAAGUCUGAUGUGAAAGCCCACGGCUCAACCGUGGAGGGUCAUUGGAAACUGGAAAACUUGAGUGCAGAAGAGGAAAGUGGAAUUCCAUGUGUAGCGGUGAAAUGCGCAGAGAUAUGGAGGAACACCAGUGGCGAAGGCGACUUUCUGGUCUGUAACUGACGCUGAUGUGCGAAAGCGUGGGGAUCAAACAGGAUUAGAUACCCCUGUAGUC
Molecule: ribosomal RNA, 465 nt
Filed under: Clostridioides difficile
Lineage: Bacteria; Bacillati; Bacillota; Clostridia; Peptostreptococcales; Peptostreptococcaceae
Description: bacterial SSU rRNA
Rfam family: Bacterial small subunit ribosomal RNA
Source: RNAcentral